This 505-nucleotide ribosomal RNA is filed under the name uncultured Lachnospiraceae bacterium. Its description in RNAcentral is "bacterial SSU rRNA". It matches the Rfam family "Bacterial small subunit ribosomal RNA", at positions 903 to 1382 of the family's 1533-position model. The record is from RNAcentral. Lineage: Bacteria; Bacillati; Bacillota; Clostridia; Lachnospirales; Lachnospiraceae.
GCGCCUUGCCAGCCCGCUCAGAAACUCAAAGGAAUUGACGGGGACCCGCACAAGCAGCGGAGCAUGUGGUUUAAUUCGAAGCAACGCGAAGAACCUUACCAAGACUUGACAUCCCCUGACAGCUGUUGAAAGGCAGUGUCUCUUCGGAGCAGGGAGACAGGUGGUGCAUGGUUGUCGUCAGCUCGUGUCGUGAGAUGUUGGGUUAAGUCCCGCAACGAGCGCAACCCUUAUCCUUAGUUACCAGCACGUAAAGGUGGGGACUCUAGGGAGACCGCCGGGGACGACUCGGAGGAAGGUGGGGACGACGUCAAAUCAUCAUGCCCCUUAUGUCUUGGGCUACACACGUGCUACAAUGGCCGCAACAGAGGGAAGCGAGAGCGCAAGCUGGAGCAAAACCCUAAAAAGCGGUCCCAGUUCGGAUUGUGGGCUGCAACCCGCCCACAUGAAGUCGGAGUUGCUAGUAAUCGCGAAUCAGCAUGUCGCGGUGAAUGCGUUCCCGGGCCUU